This 608-nucleotide ribosomal RNA is filed under the name Hepatozoon sp. Its description in RNAcentral is "SSU rRNA". It matches the Rfam family "Eukaryotic small subunit ribosomal RNA", at positions 173 to 768 of the family's 1831-position model. Lineage: Eukaryota; Apicomplexa; Hepatozoidae. The record is from RNAcentral.
GAGCAAUAUCUCAACUGUUUAGAAGAGAUGCAUUUAUUAGAUAAAAAACCAAUACAUGCUUUUAUAGUAUGAAUGUUGGUGAUUUACAAUAACUUAGCAAAUCGCAUAGUGUAAACAGGCGAUAAUUCAUUCAAGUUUCUGACCUAUCAGCUUUCGACGGUAUGGUAUUGGCUUACCGUGGCAGUGACGGUUAACGGGGGAUUAGGGUUCGAUUCCGGAGAGGGAGCCUGAGAAACGGCUACCACAUCUAAGGAAGGCAGCAGGCGCGCAAAUUACCCAAUUCUAACAGCAUAAGAGAGGUAGUGACAAGAAAUAACAGUACAAGGCAGUUAAAAUGCUUUGUAAUUGGAAUGAUAGAAAUUUAAACACUUUUUAGAGUAUCAAUUGGAGGGCAAGUCUGGUGCCAGCAGCCGCGGUAAUUCCAGCUCCAAUAGCGUAUAUUAAAAUUGUUGCAGUUAAAAAGCUCGUAGUUGAAUUUCUGUUAAAAAUAACCGGUCUGCUUUUAAUAAAAGUAGUAUCUUGGUGUGUUUUUAGCAAUAAUGUCCUUUGAAAUGUUUUUUACUUUAUUGUAAUAAACCAUAUUCAGGAUUUUUACUUUGAGAAAACUA